Molecule: long non-coding RNA, 2820 nt
Organism: Astatotilapia calliptera (eastern happy)
Lineage: Eukaryota; Metazoa; Chordata; Actinopteri; Cichliformes; Cichlidae
Source: Ensembl
GAACAAAGUAAGACAUUUUUAAAUGCAUACAGCGCAACCCUGAACUUCUGUACACAUUACCCCGUAAAGAGUAUUCAAAUAUCCUUCAAAGUCGACAUUAAAUGUUGUUUAAUCUGUCAGAUCCUUAGUACAAAGUACAAAUGGACCGAUCAACUGGCCAGGGAUCGGAAUCAGACGAUAUUCAACUUCUCGACAUGGAGUAGUGACUGGCUGAUCAGCUUCCAGUAUGUCUGAUUACAAGCCAGCUAGUUUCAUAUAUGUGCACAGUGCCACAGACAUAUAGGCACACACACUCACAGACACACACUAACCUGUUGUUAGAGGCAAACCGCCUCACUGUGUUUCCAACAUCAAACUCCACAGACCCUUAAAUCACCCUCACCCAGCUGAACAUUGAAUAUUUUAAAGAAGGUAAGGAAGAAGAAGAUGUUGUUAAAGUUAAAGCUAUCCAGAGCUCAUAGCCAGCCCCAAGCCAGCAGCCUUGGUAUGAGUAAAGAUCAACACAAAAGAAAAAUUCCAGAGAUGAGUAAAAAAAAAAAAAGCGAGAGAGAGAAAGGAUCAAUGCCCUGUGAUCUGGUGAAGUUCCUGACAUUUGUUUUGGUAUAUGAAUCUGUUGUACCUGCUUUAUUUGUAAAGGUAAAAUAUGUCAGGCAGUGUGGAUGCACAGCAACUCAUUAUUAGACAAUUCUUUGAACUUGUUUCCAAUAGACACAUCAUGCUCAUCUGAUCUGAUCUUCUUUUGCUUCCUUAAAAAACCAGUCAGCUGCAGACCUUUUUGGCCAGAGCGGCGAUAACGACGCCCAGGUUGGACAGUGAGCUGUUGAUGGCGGUCAUCUCUUUGAAACGGUCACCCUGAGACUGGCUCUUCACCAUUCGCUCACUGCCAGCCAAGUCCACCAGGCACAGAGUGGCUACACACACAGAGAAAACCAACUCUUAUAGGAAGCAGUGAUCCGUUUUUCCUUCCAUUAAAGGUAGUUUUAAUACUUUACAAAACACUUCUUUUAGCGCUCAGGGGCUCAAACAUUAACGUUGAGUCAUCAGAGCAGAUUUUGCACUGGUUACAGUAACAAUAACUAACCAGACUAAAUAUUAUAGAUCCAAAAAGAAGAAGCCACAUUCCUGAUGCUGGUACUUCCAGUGUGAUACAUUUGCACUUGACAUCCCUGCCGGCAUUAACUCCCUCAAUAUCCAGCUGGAAGACUGAGUGGGAGCGAGACGAGCGGUCAUUCUGGGCUGUCUGGGCAGUGGAGCGAUUCUGAUUGGCCAAAGCAAUCAGACGGAGAACCUGAGAGGACGAGGGAACGUUUUAAAACAUAGAGCAUCGAUAAAGUUUGAUGUAUUUUCAAAGUUUGGUAACAAUUUGUCAGCAGAUUUGAAAUUAAUUUGUUCUGAGCUACAGAUGUCUGUCUGCUGUACCUGAUCCUCAUUGGAGACCCGCUCAUAGGUGAGAUUAGUGAUUGUCAAUUUGUUGCUGGCUGUCUUGCGGAUCUCAUGCUCAGGUCUCUUGCUGGACUUGCCGGUGAACACAAGGUCCCUCAGGGUCUCAUUGUAAAUUUCGACGAAGCUCGCUGUGAACGUGAACUGUGAAGUGAGUGGGGGUUAAUGCCCCACACUCUUUUCUGUCACUGCUUUGAAUGCACAGACUGGUCUUAAUGUUGAUCUUUGUAAUCUUCAGUGUUACGACCCGGCUCAAAAGCCGCAACAUAAAAACAGAGAUGAAUAGCAGAGUGUGGGUGAGAAGAGGUUUCAUCCUAAAAUGGAAAACCAGGUUGGCUAAAAUGGCUGGUGCCACCAAGGCAAAGACUAGUGCACUGCCGGGAAGCUUGCCUCAGGUAUGCUUUUAUCCACACCUGACUAGGUGUGGCCAAUUAGCACCAGCUGAAAACACUGAGACGAUUAGAAGCUGCAGAGGGACGUAACAUUCAGUAUUGAUAUUUGUAAAUGUAAACUAUGAGGAUUUAUUUAUUUUUAAUUCUUUUCUUUUUUUUCUUUUUUUCCCUCUUUUUUUCUUUUUCCAAAUAAAUGUCCCGAUUGAGUAAUGAAACUAACCCAAAGGAGAAUUCUAACAAUAUUAGACAGGCCAUUCAAUAUGCUUUAUCGUGGACAACUCGUGGCUAAAAACCCACACACACACACACACACACACACACAAACCUCUAAUCAAACAUGAAAACGGAUAAUCCAGCUGAAGCUUCAGACAGCCGUCAGACAGUGAAACACUGCCAUCUGCUGGACGCGAAUAACAAAGACGCUGCUUUGACGGGUGAGGGAGUUUCAACAAGUCUGCAACGACUCAAGCAUCAAACUACAGAACUAUUCUAGCGGACAUGGUGCUCUAAUGACUGCUUCAUUAACGCAGGUCAGAAAGGAUCAAACAUAUCAAUAAAUCAUAAAACACAAAACGUCUCUUAUUGCCCAGGGCUCAGGAAGUGAGUGUGUUCCUUAUAGCCUAUUAAACCUUAGCAGGUUAUUUUGAUGUGUUACAGAUGAAACAGCUAUCCAGUAACAUUCAGCUACAAAAACGCUUUUUUAUAAUUACUUUUUUACAGCUUCGCACUUUUACACAAGUUUUAUCAUCAGUGUCACAAUGGCUGCUGCUAAAAUUGAGUACAAGAUAUUUGUUGGCCUGAUUAAAAGGUCUUGAUGCGUGCUCAAUCAUCAGGGAAGUAAAUCUCCAAAAGUUGAUUCUGUUCUUCUGGACGUAGCGUUUUCAGUCAGAGAAACCAGCCGACUGAAGGAACAAUGGGCUGGGAGGUCAGUUCCUUAAUCAUGAUUAUGCAAAUUCUCAUGACCAUUGAUCAACAACCACUGAUCAAU